RNAcentral lists this ribosomal RNA (200 nucleotides) under uncultured prokaryote. Its description in RNAcentral is "partial 16S ribosomal RNA". It matches the Rfam family "Bacterial small subunit ribosomal RNA", at positions 1182 to 1382 of the family's 1533-position model. The record is from RNAcentral.
AUGUCAAAUCAUCAUGCCCCUUAUGACCUGGGCUACACACGUACUACAAUGGUCGUUACAGCGAGGAGCGAUACCGCGAGGAGGAGCAAAUCUCAAAAAGCGACCCCAGUUCAGAUUGCAGGCUGCAACUCGCCUGCAUGAAGUCGGAAUUGCUAGUAAUGGCAGGUCAGCAUACUGCCGUGAAUACGUUCCCGGGCCUU